AUUGAACGCUGGCGGCAGGCCUAACACAUGCAAGUCGAGCGGCAGCGACUUAACUGAACCUUCGGGGAACGUUAAGGGCGGCGAGCGGCGGACGGGUGAGUAAUGCCUGGGAAUAUGCCCUGAUGUGGGGGAUAACUAUUGGAAACGAUAGCUAAUACCGCAUAAUCUCUUCGGAGCAAAGAGGGGGACCUUCGGGCCUCUCGCGUCAGGAUUAGCCCAGGUGGGAUUAGCUUGUUGGUGAGGUAAUGGCUCACCAAGGCAACGAUCCCUAGCUGGUCUGAGAGGAUGAUCAGCCACACUGGAACUGAGACACGGUCCAGACUCCUACGGGAGGCAGCAGUGGGGAAUAUUGCACAAUGGGGGAAACCCUGAUGCAGCCAUGCCGCGUGUGUGAAGAAGGCCUUCGGGUUGUAAAGCACUUUCAGUAGGGAGGAAGGUAGUGUAGUUAACACCUGCAUUAUUUGACGUUACCUACAGAAGAAGCACCGGCUAACUCCGUGCCAGCAGCCGCGGUAAUACGGAGGGUGCGAGCGUUAAUCGGAAUUACUGGGCGUAAAGCGCAUGCAGGCGGCCUGUUAAGUCAGAUGUGAAAGCCCGGGGCUUAACCUCGGAAUUGCAUUUGAAACUGGCAGGCUAGAGUCUUGUAGAGGGGGGUAGAAUUUCAGGUGUAGCGGUGAAAUGCGUAGAGAUCUGAAGGAAUACCAGUGGCGAAGCGGCUCCUCUGGACAAAGACUGACGCUCAGAUGCGAAGCGUGGGGAGCAAACAGG
This 768-nucleotide ribosomal RNA is filed under the name uncultured bacterium. RNAcentral's name for it is "bacterial SSU rRNA". It matches the Rfam family "Bacterial small subunit ribosomal RNA", at positions 28 to 776 of the family's 1533-position model. The record is from RNAcentral.